Molecule: ribosomal RNA, 697 nt
Filed under: uncultured Bacteroidales bacterium
Lineage: Bacteria; Pseudomonadati; Bacteroidota; Bacteroidia; Bacteroidales
Description: bacterial SSU rRNA
Rfam family: Bacterial small subunit ribosomal RNA
Source: RNAcentral
UCGAGGGGCAGCAUGGUCUUAGCUUGCUAAGGCUGAUGGCGACCGGCGCACGGGUGAGUAACACGUAUCCAACCUGCCGUCUACUCUUGGCCAGCCUUCUGAAAGGAAGAUUAAUCCAGGAUGGGAUCAUGAGUUCACAUGUCCGCAUGAUUAAAGGUAUUUUCCGGUAGACGAUGGGGAUGCGUUCCAUUAGAUAGUAGGCGGGGUAACGGCCCACCUAGUCAACGAUGGAUAGGGGUUCUGAGAGGAAGGUCCCCCACAUUGGAACUGAGACACGGUCCAAACUCCUACGGGAGGCAGCAGUGAGGAAUAUUGGUCAAUGGGCGAUGGCCUGAACCAGCCAAGUAGCGUGAAGGAUGACUGCCCUAUGGGUUGUAAACUUCUUUUAUAAAGGAAUAAAGUCGGGUAUGCAUACCCGUUUGCAUGUACUUUAUGAAUAAGGAUCGGCUAACUCCGUGCCAGCAGCCGCGGUAAUACGGAGGAUCCGAGCGUUAUCCGGAUUUAUUGGGCUUAAAGGGAGCGUAGAUGGAUGUUUAAGUCAGUUGUGAAAGUUUGCGGCUCAACCGUAAAAUUGCAGUUGAUACUGGAUGUCUUGAGUGCAGUUGAGGCGGGCGGAAUUCGUGGUGUAGCGGUGAAUGCUUAGAUAUCACGAAGACUCCGAUUGCGAAGGCAGCCUGCUAAGCUGCAACUGACAUUG